UCAGGACGAACGCUGGCGGCGUGCCUAAUACAUGCAAGUCGAACGAAACUUUCUUACACCGAAUGCUUGCAUUCACCGUAAGAAGUUGAGUGGCGGACGGGUGAGUAACACGUGGGUAACCUGCCUAAAAGAAGGGGAUAACACUUGGAAACAGGUGCUAAUACCGUAUAUCUCUAAGGAUCGCAUGAUCCUUAGAUGAAAGAUGGUUCUGCUAUCGCUUUUAGAUGGACCCGCGGCGUAUUAACUAGUUGGUGGGGUAACGGCCUACCAAGGUGAUGAUACGUAGCCGAACUGAGAGGUUGAUCGGCCACAUUGGGACUGAGACACGGCCCAAACUCCUACGGGAGGCAGCAGUAGGGAAUCUUCCACAAUGGACGCAAGUCUGAUGGAGCAACGCCGCGUGAGUGAAGAAGGUCUUCGGAUCGUAAAACUCUGUUGUUAGAGAAGAACACGAGUGAGAGUAACUGUUCAUUCGAUGACGGUAUCUAACCAGCAAGUCACGGCUAACUACGUGCCAGCAGCCGCGGUAAUACGUAGGUGGCAAGCGUUGUCCGGAUUUAUUGGGCGUAAAGGGAACGCAGGCGGUCUUUUAAGUCUGAUGUGAAAGCCUUCGGCUUAACCGGAGUAGUGCAUUGGAAACUGGAAGACUUGAGUGCAGAAGAGGAGAGUGGAACUCCAUGUGUAGCGGUGAAAUGCGUAGAUAUAUGGAAGAACACCAGUGGCGAAAGCGGCUCUCUGGUCUGUAACUGACGCUGAGGUUCGAAAGCGUGGGUAGCAAACAGGAUUAGAUACCCUGGUAGUCCACGCCGUAAACGAUGAAUGCUAGGUGUUGGAGGGUUUCCGCCCUUCAGUGCCGCAGCUAACGCAAUAAGCAUUCCG
This 879-nucleotide ribosomal RNA is filed under the name uncultured bacterium. RNAcentral's name for it is "bacterial SSU rRNA". It matches the Rfam family "Bacterial small subunit ribosomal RNA", at positions 24 to 871 of the family's 1533-position model. The record is from RNAcentral.